Molecule: ribosomal RNA, 301 nt
Filed under: uncultured bacterium
Lineage: Bacteria
Description: partial 16S ribosomal RNA
Rfam family: Bacterial small subunit ribosomal RNA
Source: RNAcentral
CAGCCGCCGCGGUAAUACGAAGGGUGCAAGCGUUAAUCGGAAUUACUGGGCGUAAAGCGUGCGCAAGCGGUUCGCUAAGACAGAUGUGAAAUCCCCGGGCUUAACCUGGGAACUGCAUUUGUGACUGGCGGGCUAGAGUAUGGCAGAGGGGGGUAGAAUUCCACGUGUAGCAGUGAAAUGCGUAGAGAUGUGGAGGAAUACCGAUGGCGAAGGCAGCCCCCUGGGCCAAUACUGACGCUCAUGCACGAAAGCGUGGGGAGCAAACAGGAUUAGAUACCCGCGUAGUCCCUGUCUCUUAUAC